AAUAGGAGGAGAACAAGUUAAAGUUAAAAAAAGAAAAGCAGAUAAAUAGCAGAGCAAGAGGCAGGAUGCAUCAUGCCUCGGUCACUACAUGUUUGCAGGGUUUUGUUAAAGACAAUGGUAUGACGUUGAAACUUGGAUUGCCUUGAGUACACCCUCACAGCGCUGCUCGUGGGGCAAGCAUGCCUGGGAGAUGACCUGGGGCACCACGCCCUGCCUAUCUCAGACAAGGAACUCCAGGCAGCAGUGGCGAAGCUAAGCAGCUCCAUCCUUAAGGGGCGGAGGCCGGCUCAUAUUUGCCUAUUAGGGCCGUGGGACGCCGAGGUUCUGCUGGGUCCCUCCUGGAAAUAGAUCCUUCCCAGCCAGCACCCGAAGUCAGCAGCAGAGGGCAAAGCACCUGGGCUUUAUUUAGCUCCAAGCUCCACGAUCCUCCUGGUUGGCCUCUGAAAGAGCUGAAAUACUAUAAACUACCAUUUGGGACAGUUGGAGAAAAACAGCAAAUAUUAGAAAACCUGUGCCAAAGCACUUGCACCCAGUGGGUAUACACAAGAAUGUAACCUCCUCCAAACUUUCAAAAACAAAGCCAAACCUUGGCUGCAAAUAAGCCUCAAAUGAGAAAGAAACACUCAUUUGCUUCUGAAAAAUGGGAAAGGCUGUACUUUAUCUACAAGGUGUUCUUUUCCUUAUAAACCAUGAGAAACAGACCUCUUUUUUGUUCUCUUUGUCUGCUGGAACUUCAUUUUGAAGGAAGGAAGUUACAAGGAAUGAACCACCUUGUAAGGGCAAGAAAAUCUUUCUCCACAGUGUGGCUGGAUUUGCUCCUGGAAGCAGCCACUUUGGUAGGUCUCUCCAAUGAGGCUUUUUCUCACAGCAGUCCAGGGAAGCAGAUGGAUUAGAUGGCUGGCUCUGGUUACCUAUGGCUGCCUGCCCAGUCCCCUGGGCAUUCCAAGGCCCCACCUUCCACCUGGCCCAUGACCUCUGACCCAGGCCCUGUAGCCAGCAAGGGUGUGGGGAAAGAGCGGGGUGGGUAUAGGUAUCAGGCUGCCUGGGCCCAGGCUACAAAUGAAAGAGUCAGUUGUUUCCAUGCCUCAUGCUCUAUUGUGCCGUCCCGGGAGCUGCAGAACUGGUAUUUCUCCAAAUCCUGGUGGCUCACAUGGCUGUGUAGACAAGCUGUACUUACAGUGGUACACGUGUAUGUGUGUUGCAUGGAAAUCAGCAGUCCUGCUUCCAGUCCCAGCUCUGCCUCUGCCUCAUUCUGGGACUUCAGAGAGCCCCUUUGCCACUUCAAGGAGCCUCAGUUUUCUCAUCUACGAAAUGGCACUGUUGGAUCCUUGUAAGUGCUUGGGAAAGGGUGGGGAGUGGGGUGCAGAGUAGGGGCUGCUGACCAGGCAGUUUCCUGCCAUCCUCUAUAAUCCUGCUCACCACCACCCCGAGGGCAACAAAAACAACUCCACCUUCAUCUGUCUUGUAUUUUGUAUUUUCACAUAAAACCUUCUCAGAAGAAAAACUUUUGUUGGCUUCUAAAAACCACUGGACUAGGCGAUCUGUAAGUGACCUAUGAAAUUGAUUAUUCUGUAAUUCCAUGAUUCCAAAACAAAAACACAGACUUAGACUUUUUAAAGGAUCGUGUGCUGUUUGGGAGGAUGAGAAAAUUAUGACAUAUGUAGUGAUGUGUUUCUGAUACUGAAGAUUCUCUUAUGCGGCACCCCCUGCUUCCACCUGCCACAAAGGGAACAUAUAAAGUUUCCAGAGUCCUAGCCCCCUCCUUUGUUACACCUGAUAAAGGCUCAUGUUAAUUAUUUAGCCAACGGUGCUAACUGGAACAUAGUCAUAUGAUGAAGCUGCCUUGAAAACAUUUCCGCGUGUAACAUAAGGCUUUUGCAACUUAAACGUAUUUUUUUCUUCUUUCAUAUCAGCAGUUAUUUUAUGGAACUGGGCUGAGACAGCUUAGCAACAAAGGGCACUGGGUUGGUGAAUUAUUCAUGUAAUCUACAUUUCCUGGCUGCUGUGGAUAAUUGACAGGUGUCAUGUCACCUUUUACAAACGUCCCACAAUUAUGGACCAUAUAUCAGUGUUGGACUUCGAAGUAAUGCUCCCUUUCUAAGCUAGUUUCAUAUUUUAUUUACAGCUUGGUGGCAUUUUUGACUUGGCUGCCUAUUUCUCUCACUUUUGAUUCCAAGCCUUUUGCUCCACUUAAUAUAACCAGGAACAUUUAAAUAAUGAGACUCCCUCUCAGUUUGCUAAAGGCAGUCAUUCAUUGCUGUGGUGUCUUAUUCAUUCAGCCAUUAUGUUAGUCAAUUUCUUGAUUUAAGAAAUGCAGGAUGAAAUGCAACUGUAAGGAAACCAUGAUAUAAUUUUUUUUAUGACUUGUUUUGUUCACAAGGGAAAAACCAAAAGCAAAUCUUCCGUGUGUCUGACACAAGUUGUAAACUGUAGGGGAAAGUUGGCUAGUUAAAGAAUAUGACUUAGUUAAUAGAAGAUGGCAUAUUUCAAAUCUCCACCAGAGUUGGAAGUUUUCUAGCAUUAGAAACAAAGCCAAGGCAAGUUCUAUUUAGGCCUACUGAGAAAAUCAGGUAAGAAAAUAAACCUGCAGUUGAUAACCCUGAAGACUAAUGACAGAACAUAGCCAUACAUGAAACUGAAACAUUCAGAGCAAACUGGAACCUUCGGAGUCCUCUAGUCUACCUUUCCACUUUAGCCAUCAGGAAACUGAGUCCCAAGACAUGUAAAGGUUUGUCCACCAUCCCAACACCAGUUAGUGGAAAGGCUACAAGCCAGGUCAGCCGGUUCCUCCUCCAGCACUGUCACCGUUCUGCCCUGGCCUGGAGCACUCUCCUUACCUCCCGGGAUUCAUUCACUUCUUCUACUGCCAGUGAUCUCUGACUCUUCCUUGGGGAUAUUCACCCCUUCCUAACACUCAGCUCUGUGAUUUGUGUAGAAUGAUCUCAAACUCACUCUCGACAUGAGCAUGAUUGAUUAAGUCCAUCAAUUUUCCUGAAUGGAAUGGCCACAUGACCUAAACUGGACCAGUAAGAUACAGUGAACCCCAGCACUUGGAUGGGAGCUGUUGGAAGAGAUUUUCAGUCCUACUAGAUUGGCUGUUGUAAGGGUGUGAGGUCUGGAGCUGCUACAUAUUAUUUUGCUACCAAUAUGGAAAGAGGCUGGAGCUACAGGAAGUGGGUGGGGAAAAUGUAUCAUGUGAUGCCUGCGGGUGAAGCUUGCCAACACAAAACUACUGGGCAGAGAAAGCAAACCUGGGUUAAGUAAACAUAUCAUUUAUCUUCUAAACCAGGACAAUUCUGAGAAUGAAAAAGGGCAGGACAAAUGCUAAACCAGACAGGAUGCCGGAACAGUAGGCAUAAACAGAACUGUUCUGGGCAAACAGGGACACACAGUCAUCCACUCUACGAUGACACUGUCUGAGCUGCUAGAUUAAGCCUUGACUCUCAAUUCAGCUGGCUGGAUUCAGCUAGCACUCUAUUUGGCCUUUUUAAUCUCGGUAACAAUGAACUCACUUCAUUGUUGAAACCAGUUUGAGUUAAGAGUAUUGUAACUUGUAUGUAAAGCUUUAACUUACACAAAUAUGCUGCUUCCUAAGUGUUGCACUUUCUAAAAUCUUGUCCUACAUCAUAUCGGA
Molecule: long non-coding RNA, 3634 nt
Filed under: Homo sapiens (human)
Lineage: Eukaryota; Metazoa; Chordata; Mammalia; Primates; Hominidae
Description: long non-coding RNA NONHSAT204219.1
Source: RNAcentral